This 2036-nucleotide long non-coding RNA is filed under the name Homo sapiens (human). RNAcentral describes it as "AP1AR divergent transcript (AP1AR-DT)". Lineage: Eukaryota; Metazoa; Chordata; Mammalia; Primates; Hominidae. The record is from RNAcentral.
CCUGGUUCAGCCGCCUCUGCCUGCGAGACGGUUCAAUUCCUGCGUGCGGACGUUUGUUUUGUUGGACCUUGACCUGACUAGGAAAUUUCCCUCUCUCAUUGCAGUUUCGGGCAUCCUCGUCCGGAGCACGCUGGGCGUGGCAUGGCUAAGGCUCAGCCUUCGAACUUUGUAUCAAAGGCGUGUGAGGAGCCAGAGUCCCAGGCCGGAAGUCAUAAGUGCGAAGGGGCGUUUCUCUGCACGGUGUGCUUAGUUUUUGUUAAUACUGCACCAUAAGCGGAAAAUAGACUCGGGAACUGAUUGAGGUUACUUUGAACGCACCAAGAUUUUUUUCCGGUCUCUGGUUUGUGUCUUAAUUUCCAUACUGUUAAUGUUUUAGGGAAACGUAAUAAUGGUGCAUUAUUGUCCUCGUUUUGUUUGAAAAUCAGAUCUUCACAUAAUUUUGGGUUGGGUAGUUGGGGUUCAGAGGAAAUUGGCAAGAGGGCUGGGGUUUUUCGGGGACGUCAGCGUUGCCAUUCCAAGCAUGCUGCCCAGAACUGCUGUAGAUGGGAAGAGAAAGCUGCUCUAAUGUGUCCGCAGCCCUCUCAAGUGCUACCAUAUAAUUCGCGUCUUGUUUGGCCUCAAGACAGUUGGCCUCACAAUAGAUAUAAGAUGUGGUUUAGUAGACACCUCGUCCAGUGGAUAGGAGGAUGCUCUCAUGGACUGGACACAUCAAGUUUUUAGCCUGUUUAAUUAAACCUAGAAAAAUUGUUACAUUUUAGAAAGUUUUUAUUGAUGAUAAAAUGUUCUCUGAACUCAUUUUCUUGCUUCUUUAAAUACGUAUCUGGUUUCAAUCUUAGCACUGCUACUUACUAAUGUUUAUUUUAUUUGGGUUUUAGUUGUUUUGUAAUCAGAAGCAUAGGAUAACAUUUGUCCCAAUGGUUUGCUUUCAGUGAAUGUUGGGAUGACCGAAUGACUUCCUAGUGAAAGCAUUUUCUUUUCUCCUUCCAACCCCUGAAAUUAGACAAAUGUAUUAAUGAAAUAAUCAUUAAAAUUCAACUAUAAAUGUUUACAGAAACUGGUACAUCUAUCCUAUGGAAUAUUUAGUAACAAAUAGGAACACAGUAUUGAUGAACACACCCUGAAAUGAAUCUGUAGGAAAUUAUGGUUAAAGAAAAAGCCAAUCUCAAAUGCUUAUAUACUGUGUAAUUCCAUUAUGUAACAUCUCAGAAUUGAUAAAUUUAUGUAAGUGGACAACAGAAUAAUUGAUUGCCAUGGGUCAGGGAAUGGAAAUCCUGCAUCUUGUCUAUAUUAAUGUCAGUAUUCUGGUUGUGAUAUUGCAAUAGUUUUGUAACAUGUCACCACUGGGGGAAACUAGAUUAAAGAUAUACACGGUCAUCUGUAUAUUAUUUCUUAAAACUGCAUGUGACACAAUUGUCUCAAUAUAAAAAGUUUGAUUAAAAAAAUGCAGCUAUAGACUUGACAGCACUUCCUAUAGACAUUCUAUAAACCGUUAUUAAAACUGAAUCUCACUUAAAAAUAAUUUUUUUAUAGUAAAUCUGUUCUCUCAGUUAAGGAUAUGAAUGAUCCUCAGAAGCAAUACAAAUGAAUAAGACAUUUAAAAACUUCACUAAGCAAAAUAAUGCAAAUUAAAAUGCAUGUUUUAGUCAUUUGUAUUGAUUCACUUGUCAAGUUAACAAAGCUUUACAGUUAGAAAUAUUCAGUAUUUGCAAGGAUACAAUGAAAUGGUACUAUUCUAAACUGCUGCAGAUAAUGAAACUCAUUCUGAGAAAUUAUUUGGAAAUACCAAGAGCCAGAAACAAACUAAAUGCUCAAAAAUUGAAGGAUGAUUAAAUUUGCUGGUGUAUUCUUGUUAUAUAGACAUAAUAAAUAUAUUUUUUAAAACAAUAUGGAAAAAUGCUUGCUGAAUAAUGUGUGAAAAAUCAGGAUAGAAAAUUAUAUGUAUGUUCCAAAUGAUGUUUAAAACAAAACAUAUACAUUCUUACAUUCUUUCUUACACGUGUUUCUUGAAAAUAAAGGCUGGAUGGUAAAUAUCAAAA